RNAcentral lists this ribosomal RNA (253 nucleotides) under uncultured bacterium. RNAcentral describes it as "partial 16S ribosomal RNA". It matches the Rfam family "Bacterial small subunit ribosomal RNA", at positions 524 to 776 of the family's 1533-position model. The record is from RNAcentral.
UACGUAGGGUGCGAGCGUUGUCCGGAAUUACUGGGCGUAAAGAGCUCGUAGGUGGUUUGUCGCGUUGUUCGUGAAAACUCACAGCUCAACUGUGGGCGUGCGGGCGAUACGGGCAGACUAGAGUACUGCAGGGGAGACUGGAAUUCCUGGUGUAGCGGUGGAAUGCGCAGAUAUCAGGAGGAACACCGGUGGCGAAGGCGGGUCUCUGGGCAGUAACUGACGCUGAGGAGCGAAAGCAUGGGGAGCGAACAGG